GACGAACGCUGGCGGCGUGCCUAAUACAUGCAAGUAGAACGCUGAAGGAGGAGCUUGCUUCUCCGGAUGAGUUGCGAACGGGUGAGUAACGCGUAGGUAACCUGCCUGGUAGCGGGGGAUAACUAUUGGAAACGAUAGCUAAUACCGCAUAACAGUAGAUGUUGCAUGACAUUUGCUUAAAAGGUGCAAUUGCAUCACUACCAGGUGGACCUGCGUUGUAUUAGCUAGUUGGUGAGGUAACGGCUCACCAAGGCGACGAUACAUAGCCGACCUGAGAGGGUGAUCGGCCACACUGGGACUGAGACACGGCCCAGACUCCUACGGGAGGCAGCAGUAGGGAAUCUUCGGCAAUGGACGGAAGUCUGACCGAGCAACGCCGCGUGAGUGAAGAAGGUUUUCGGAUCGUAAAGCUCUGUUGUAAGAGAAGAACGAGUGUGAGAGUGGAAAGUUCACACUGUGACGGUAUCUUACCAGAAAGGGACGGCUAACUACGUG
Molecule: ribosomal RNA, 495 nt
Filed under: uncultured bacterium
Lineage: Bacteria
Description: partial 16S ribosomal RNA
Rfam family: Bacterial small subunit ribosomal RNA
Source: RNAcentral